This 460-nucleotide ribosomal RNA is filed under the name uncultured bacterium. RNAcentral describes it as "partial 16S ribosomal RNA". It matches the Rfam family "Bacterial small subunit ribosomal RNA", at positions 338 to 795 of the family's 1533-position model. The record is from RNAcentral.
CCUACGGGAGGCAGCAGUGAGGAAUAUUGGUCAAUGGACGAGAGUCUGAACCAGCCAAGUAGCGUGAAGGAUGACUGCCCUAUGGGUUGUAAACUUCUUUUAUAUGGGAAUAAAACGUUCCACGUGUGGGAUUUUGUAUGUACCAUAUGAAUAAGGAUCGGCUAACUCCGUGCCAGCAGCCGUGGUAAUACGGAGGAUCCGAGCGUUAUCCGGAUUUAUUGGGUUUAAAGGGAGCGUAGGUGGAUUGUUAAGUCAGUUGUGAAAGUUUGCGGCUCAACCGUAAAAUUGCAGUUGAAACUGGCAGUCUUGAGUACAGUAGAGGUGGGCGGAAUUCGUGGUGUAGCGGUGAAAUGCUUAGAUAUCACGAAGAACUCCGAUUGCGAAGGCAGUUCACUGGACUGCAACUGACACUGAGGCUCGAAAGUGUGGGUAUCAAACAGGAUUAGAUACCCUAGUAGUC